GUAAGAUUGAAGACUUCUUGACGAUGUUUAUAAUGUAUCCUAUAAAAUAUUCACUCGCCAGAAUCGUCCAAAGAUCCAGGAGGGACAGAUAUCUACUCCAAACCUGGAAUCUGUUGCAGAAUAUUAAAGAAAAUUAUGGGAAAACAAAUGUGAAUGACGGACAGAUUUAGUAAGAUGAAAGAUUUAAGCCUACGAGCACACUACUAUUUCUCACAUCAAAGGUACAUUGUUAAUUAUGAACAUCAAUAGUAAAUAAAG
Long non-coding RNA from Pectinophora gossypiella (pink bollworm), 258 nucleotides. RefSeq lists it as uncharacterized. The record is from RefSeq and is a predicted model, not a curated record. Lineage: Eukaryota; Metazoa; Arthropoda; Insecta; Lepidoptera; Gelechiidae. The transcript is spliced from 2 exons.